CGCCGGCAUGGUCGCCGCGGUAUUCGAGGCUCGUGACCUGGAACGGCCCCUCGAUCGUGCCGAAGGCCGGCACC
Molecule: transfer RNA, 74 nt
Filed under: Methylobacterium organophilum
Lineage: Bacteria; Pseudomonadati; Pseudomonadota; Alphaproteobacteria; Hyphomicrobiales; Methylobacteriaceae
Description: tRNA-Thr
Source: RNAcentral